GGCUAACGCUGGCGGCGUGUCUUAGCCAUGCAAGUCGAGCGGACUUAUGGGGUAACUUAUAAGUCAGCGGCGGACGGCGGAGUAACACGUAGCUAACCUACCCUCUGGACGGGGAUAACCUACCGAAAGGUGGGCUAAUACCCGAUGUAGUCAUCCUGUAUAGGGGUGAUGAAAGGUGGGCUUCUGUUUACAAGCUCAUGCUGGAGGAGGGGGCUGCGGCCUAUCAGGUAGUUGGUAGGGUAAUAGCCUACCAAGCCGAUGACGGGUAGCCGGCCUGAGAGGGUGACCGGCCCGAGGGGCACUGAGAUACGGGUCCCACUCCUACGGGAGGCAGCAGGCUAGAAAUUUGGGCAAUGGGGGAAACCCUGACCCAGUGACGCCGCGCGCAGGAAGGAGCCCUUCGGGGUGUAAACUGCUGUCGUGUAGGGAGAAGGGUACUAAGGUGAACAAUCUUAGUACUUGACGGUACUACAGGAGGAAGCCCAGGCUAACCUCGUG
RNAcentral lists this ribosomal RNA (498 nucleotides) under uncultured bacterium. RNAcentral's name for it is "bacterial SSU rRNA". It matches the Rfam family "Bacterial small subunit ribosomal RNA", at positions 28 to 507 of the family's 1533-position model. The record is from RNAcentral.